RNAcentral lists this unclassified non-coding RNA (190 nucleotides) under uncultured Polyporaceae. RNAcentral's name for it is "sequence contains ITS1". Lineage: Eukaryota; Fungi; Basidiomycota; Agaricomycetes; Polyporales; Polyporaceae. The record is from RNAcentral.
UCGAAUUUGAAAGGGGUUGUAGCUGGCCUUAAUGGCAUGUGCACACCCCGUUCACAUCCAUCUCUAACCCCUGUGAACGUUCUGUAGAUCGGUUUUUUGGGCCUUCUCUUUCGGGAGUCGGUCCUGACCCCUCUAUGUUUCAUUUAAACUCCAGUCAGUUCAGAAUGUAACGCGUCUAACGCACAUAAUA